AGCAUCAAUCAGAGAUUUAGCUUCUGGGAUUCGACCCAUACGCAUCAAGCAGAUGGCCAGGUUGCACUGUUUGUUUUUGUCUGGCUCCAAACACAAAGCUCUCCUAUUCAUAGAUACAUAAGUGCAUAUAAGGAAAAGACUCGCAAGGGCAAACACAAACUAACAAGAACCAAACCUUGUAAAGCAUUGAGUUGUACUAUCAACAAUAUCUUAAAACCCAGAUUUAUAAGAGGUUAUAAUUUUUUAAAAUACAAUGUUCACUAUCCGAAAAUAUUUCUCCUAACCAGAACUAUUCAAAUGACAAGUCUAAAUCAACCUUAUUUGUUUUUUGAAUAACAGAGGAACGAAAAUCCUAAAAUUACUUGAACCCAGAUUUAUAAAGGUUUAUAAUUUUUUGAAAACUCAAUGUUCACUAUCGAAACUCUUUCUCUUAGAUCGACCUGUUGUAAACCAACCUUCGUUGAUUUUUUUUUUAUAACAGAAAGAACAAAUCCAAAAUAUUACUUGAAUCGAACAAAAAAAAUACACAAAUUAGAAACAUACCAGUGUGAAUCGUGGAGAGGAGCCAACAUCUCUGAGGUUUUGAAUCGUGAUUCUCGUAAUUGCUUAUCGCUAGAUGCGUGAGAGAGAGUGAUGAUGGAACUCAACGGAGACGACGAUGGAUCUCGUCGGAGAUGACGACAGAUCUCAACGGAGAGAGAAGAACGAUCUCCACAGGGAGAGAGACGAUGGAUCUCGGAAAGAGAGACGGUGGAUCUGACGGAGAGAGAGACGGUGGAUCCGAAAGGAGAGAGAAGAAGGAUCACGACAGUGGAGAAGAAAGAGACGAUAGAUUGAAGUAAAGAUAAGGUUAGUUUAGUCUUUUACCAAUUAAUAAAUGUGCUAUUUAUGAAAAUGUCCUUUGAGUGGUGGUAUAAGUGAAAAGUGGUAUCAUGUAAAGUGUAUAAGUAAAAUUUCCCCUAAAAUUAUAUAUGUAUAUAUAUAAACAUAAUUAAAAUUCAAAAUCAUAUCAAAAAUAUAUAGCAGGAUUUGUAAAUAUAUUAAAAAAAAAUUCUUAUAGUAUAACCUUUUAGUGGUUGACAAACGAUCAUGCCGAGAAUUAGAAUCAACAAAAAUAAAGUAUAUUGGUUAUAAUUGAGAAGUCCGUGCUAAUUCUAUGAUUGAAUAUCCUUUGACAUCGAGAAAAAUGUUACAAUAUCACAAUUUGUGUUUACUAUAUUUACAAAUCCAGUUAUAUAUUUUUGAUAUGAUUUUGAAUGGGAAAAUUUUACUUUUACACUUUGUUGGAUACCACUUUUCAACUUUACCAUCAGUCUAAGGACAUUUUCAGAAAUACACACUUUCAUUAAUGAGCAAAAGACAAUAACACCCUUACCUUAUCUUCUUCUCCACUAUUGGUUUCUCUCCCUGUCCUCGAGUCACCGUCAUCUCUCUCUCACCGUCGUCUCUCUCUCUCACCGUCGAUUUCCGGCGCCUCUCUCACCGCCUAGUUCUGGUGUCUCUCUCACCGUCGAUCUCUCUCUCACCAUCGAUCUCUCUCUCACCGUCGACUUCCGGUGACGAAAUCGAUUCAAAAUCUCCAAGAUGUCAACUCAUAUACGUGAUUCACAACUUAUGUCUCUAAUUUCUGUAUUUUUGUUUGAUUCGAUUUUGUGCUUUCUCUUAUCGAAAAAUCAAACAAGGUUCUCUUAGAUAUCUCAUUUAAAGAGGUCGAUCUAAGAGAAACAGAUUUGAUAGUGAAACGUUGAGAGUGAAAACAUUGAGUAUUUGAAAACUUAAAUCUGGUUUUGAAAUCAUAUUAAGAUUGAUCUGAAUGGUUCCGGCUAAGAAAAGAGAUUUUCCGAUAGUGAAAACUGCAUAUUAAGGAAGAGAUAAUUUCCGAUAGUAAAAACUGAAUAUUAAGGAAUUAUAACCCCUUAUAAAUCUGGGUUUCAUGAGAUUGUUGAUAAAUACAACUCAAUGAUUUAUAAGGAAUUAUAACCCUUUAUAAAUCUGGGUUUCUACCAGGAAACCUCUUCUGCAGAUCUGUUAUGUCUACAUAGGGACUCAACAAGGGCUUCGACAAUUACUGAAGUGUUGGAGGUGGAGGAGAAAAAUAAUGUGAGUUUUUACUAAAGUUUAUAAAUAUAUUUGUACUGUAUUGUUUAGAAAGAGGUUUAUAAACAUACUCCUUGAAAAAGGGUUACAAGCAGACGCCUUGGUAAAAAAUGUGAAGCGUUUAAGACAUUUUAGAAUAUUUUUCAUUUUGUACUUUUUCUGUAACACGUUGCUUGCAUCAUUCACACACUAGCCCUUAACAUUCACAUUAGAUUAUUGAGAAUGGUUGCUCUGUUUCUUCUUGGCUUGUGUUUUGUGUGUUAACUCGCAUGUUUCACUUGUCUUAACACCUUGCUUAUGUCAUGCCCUCAUUAGCUCCUGCCAUUUACAUGAGAUUACUAAGUUAACUAUAUUGUUUCAUAAUGGUUUAUAAAUAAGAGAUUUACAGAGACUUAUAAAACGUUGUUUUAUCUUUGUUACAGGGUGUGGUUACUACAGUGUUUGGAUACUCUGAGGAAUUCAAACAUUUGGUGAACCCAACACAUCCUCAUGAUAAGGACUUUGACAGUGUUAUACAACUAGUUCAACAAGGAUACAAUGUGUAGAAAAUCGAUUGGGAACAAGGAUUUGUGGAUGUUUUCUUACAACAGAAGACAUUGGUCGACAAAGCAGGACAGAAGACAAAGAUGUACAGCAAAACCUCUAAGGAGCAAACACAAUAUCAAGAAGAACAACAAGUUGAAGCUGAUGCUGAAUUCGGUGACGGUGAUAAAGAAAGAGAAACAUCAAAAAUCAAUGAAGGUUGAGGAAGAAUAAGAAGAAAAAAUGGAAGCUGAUACAGAAGUUGAGGAGUCCGUGCAAGCUGAAAGGCAGAAAUGAAGAAGAGGAAAUAAGGAACAAGAGCAUAAGAAGAAUAAAGAGAAAAGAAAAGAUGAAGCGUAUGAGAAAGCUAAGGAGAAAUUUCAAGAUGAAGAUGGUUCCAAACUCGAUAAGUUAAUCCAAAUGCUUUAUGAUUUGAAUAAACGAGUAGAAGUAAUCGAGAAUGUCUUAGGAGUGGCAGACGGUUAUGAGAGUCCAUGCAACUAUGAUGAUACAAAAGGUGCACCAAAUGAUGAAAAUGAAGAAGAAGAAAAUUCUGGUGGUAAAAGAAAUGCAACAGGUGAUGAAAAUGAUGAAGAAGGAAUUUCUGAUACACAGAAACUAACGGAAGUGAAUAUUCUUAGGGAAAAUGAGAAUACAGAGAAAAUCACUCCAGACGAAGACACUGAAAAAAAGU
Long non-coding RNA from Brassica napus (rape), 3313 nucleotides. RefSeq lists it as uncharacterized. The transcript is spliced from 5 exons. The record is from RefSeq and is a predicted model, not a curated record. NCBI's taxonomy places the organism in Eukaryota, Viridiplantae, Streptophyta, Magnoliopsida, Brassicales, Brassicaceae.